Dromiciops gliroides (monito del monte) is the source of this 456-nucleotide non-coding RNA. NCBI's taxonomy places the organism in Eukaryota, Metazoa, Chordata, Mammalia, Microbiotheria, Microbiotheriidae. The record is from the annotation of a RefSeq genome assembly.
AGGGUAGAAAAGCUUCCUCCCUCCUUGCUGCCCCCUCAGGGCUCUGAGUGCUCUCUCUGCAGGUGUCUGAAGGCCAGGAUGGUCUCCCCAUGGCAGCUCCUCUGGCUGCUGGUGCUCUGGGCUCAGGAUUCCCAAGGAGCCAUUGUGCUGACCCAGUCUCCAGCCUCCUUGUCUGGAUCUCCAGGAGAGAGAGUCACCAUCAGCUGCAAGGCCAGUCAGAGUGUGACAGAUAGUGGUGGUAGCUGGUUACAUUGGUACCAUCAGAAACCUCACCAAGCCCCCAGGCUACUCAUCUACAAGGCUUCCAGCCUGGCACCUGGAGUGCCUGCCCGGUUCAGUGGCAGUGGGUCUGGGACAGAUUUCACUCUCACCAUCAGCAGCUUGGAGCCUGAGGAUGCUGGAGAUUAUUACUGUCAGCAGGAUAAAAACUGGACCCCCACAGCAUUUCAGCUCUGA